AACGGCCGCGCGUAACCGCCACGGCCCCGCGCGCGACCCCGCGCGCGCCCCUCAGGCGGAGCCCCCCCCCCCACUUCCCGCCCCUCAGGGGGGGCUUCGUCCGAGGCUCCAAUUAAACCCCCGAGCCUGGUAAAACCCGGCAUUUAUCGGUGUUGUGAGGAAAUAAGGAAAGAGAACAUGAGCGUGCAGGGCGUGUUUAUAUGUGUGUUUCAGGUUCCGGGCGCACGCUUUGCUAUUUGAGCUGACUCGUGGCUGGGCUGGCCGAGCACACGCUCUUAGCCCACGGGGGAUUUAAACGAAUUGCGACUGUUUACUGCUCAGCCUUCUUUCAUGCUAAUCGAAAGUUUGGACAAAGCCAGAGAAUGGUUUUUCUCUCUGCUGCGAUGCAGGACAAUCAUUCAGAAUCAUUUGUUUCAUCGUUGCUGGAUAAAGGUUUUUUUUCCCGUUCCCAGGAACGUUCCUGUGAAGCACUGAGGGGCAGCAGGUUCCUUCCUACAGCGGAGUCCACAGACCUGAAUUUCCUGCUCCAAGAUUAUGUUACUAAACUAUAAAGGCUUUAGUAGUUCGUCAGUGUUUAAAAAGUGUCUUUUGAUACCUGACUUUUACUGACUGCUGCAGUGGAGAAGACAGGAAUCUUGCUGCAAAAUCCAACUCCAGCUCCUUGUAAACUAUAUAAACCUGUGCUUUAAGUCAGUCACUAGUGCCUGUCUAUGCUGUUGAUUUUUUUUGCCACUUGAUCUUUGGGUGGAUGUAUUUACUGUUCCUAAAUCAUAAAGAGAGUCCCCAAACUCCCAAAGGAGAGUUUCUAGAAGAUGAAAAGCCACACAUCUAUUUCAUAAAAAUGUAAAGUCAAGAAAUUAAUAAACUAUGUGAAUUAAGUUUUUCUUAAGCUCAAAGCUGACCCGAAUUAAUUUUUUUCUUUUCUUUAGAUUUUUGAUGUAAAAUCUUCAAAUCAUAAGCUUCCUGACUCAAAUUUAAAAAAAAAAAAAAUCAAAAUAAAUUAGGGGAUGCUUUAGAACUGAGAGAAGAAUCAUAAGCACAGAUUUUGGCCUGGUUUUUAGAGGGCCCACAAUCCAACAUUGUUUGGUAGUGAUGUCCUGCAAAACAUCCAUAAUCAUGCAAAACACCCAUGUGCCAUCAGUCUCUCAUGGUUUGUUGAGAUGUAGCAAGAUAUAGAAAAUAAUAUACGCAUACAUAUUUAAGAAAUGGACAACAGCUCUCUGUAGAUGUUUAUUCUACUUACAGUAACAAAAAACCUGUGAACUCCCAUAUUUUAAUGUACAGUGAUAUAUUCUGCCAUAUAAAAUACAAUUUACAGAAAUUUCUAUCAAGGAAACCUAAACAAACACACUUACUUUUUGCAUACUUUUAUGUAUGUCUUUAAAUUAGAAACAUCUCGUUAAGAAAAAAAUCUUACACCGUAGGUGAUGUUUGCAUUUCAUACCAUUUCUUUGCAUGUUACCGUUUUCCCUCGGGUUCAGAACACAGAUCAUCUCAGCCAGCAAACCCUGGAUGGACAAGGACCUCAAAGAUGCACCAAUGUGACUGUGGUGACAAACAAGCUACUGUAAUGUAAUCCUCAAGAUAAAAACUGUUUACAGGAAUCUAAUUUUACAUUUCCAAAACUAUUUUAUCAAAAAAUGAAAAUAUUUACCCGACUGUUAAUUUACACGGUCAAAUAAAUUAGCGGGGUUUCAUUUCAUACUUUAGAAUUACAUACUUGAGGACUACAUGAAAAGUAGCAUUUGGGCAUGAAAAAUGUCCCUCUUCAAUCACAACAUGAUGUACCACAAUAAUUUAAAGUUUAAUGCAGCUGUAUCUUUUUCAGUGGAGAGUUUUAUAUACACUGCCAGCCUAAGUACGGUCUAACAAAAGAACAGUAACAUUCAUUUUUUAAGAGCCCUUUUAGAAUGAAAGAGUACUUCUAGAAUGAAAAAUUCAAUCAAAUUGGGACAUUUCCUAAGUUUGUGGCAAAAUUCUGCAAAACCAAAACAAAAGCAAAAAAUGCUCUGCUAGAUCAGUUCAACUGAAGUAAGAGAUUCAGUGGCCUAUUUAACCAAAUUUUUUCCUUCCUUUAGUUUACCAAUUUAUUUGCAGUCUUCACCUUUUUCAAAUAAAUGCCAGAUGCUUUUGUAAGUUUUGCUGGUUAUAAAGGUGCUGCUCUUGUAUGUUCUUUAAUGACAGGCUUGUAAAAAUGAGAUAUUUAAAACAUCAUGAAAAAUAAACUAAGUACAACUUGUCUGCUGUACACUGAAGAGAUGGAUUCUCAAACCAAAACACCGGUAUAUAAAAGGAAGAUAGUGCACUUUAAGCUUAUAACAUUCCAUUUUCAAAUCCUCCAUCAGUCACAAGUAAUUAUUAACACUGUUCUUCUACAGUCCUUUCCUAAAUAAACGACCCUUCUGUUGUAAAAGAAACACGACAGCAACAUUUUUAAAGUGUGUGCUGUAGGAACAAUUUUGACACCAAAAUAUCACGUAAAUGGGAUGUAAAGGUAUGGCUCCUCAGGUGUGGAUUAAAUUCUCUUAUAAAAUUACAAUUCAAGUUACUGGAAAACAUAACUUUAUAAUCUUAAAAAGCAAUAUGCUCUUCUUAGACUUUUCCCAUUUCUGUACUGUAAAUGGAAACUUUAAGAUAAAGAUGCGAGUAGAAAAAACAAAAUUUCAGUACAGGUAACAUUGUGAAUUUUUAUAAGAAAAACAUUAUGCACAAAAUGCAGCAAGUGAAAGUCCAAUAUGUUCUUGCUUCUCAUCUAUCUGAUUAAUUUCAUUCACAGUUGUUCAAAAAUUGCUAACUUGUCAGUCCAUUGGGUAAGGCUAGUUUUACAACAGUAUUUUUGGAAAGGUGAGAAUAUAUACAGUAUAUACAGAAGAUGUGCAGUCCUUGCUGUGUUGCAAAAGUGGGAUAUUUGUGGGAAAUACAAUAUCAGUCAUGGUUCUAUGAUUGAUUGCUGGAAGAUGAAGCUUCAGUUUCCACUGGUUUCUGAGUUUCCUUCGGUGUUUCUGGCUUUGUCUCUUUACCAGUUUCCUUACUCUUACUCCUAUCUUUGCGAUCUUUCCCUCUUUCCCUGUCGCGAUCUCGGUCUCUCUCUCGAUCUCGUUCCUUCUCCCUGCUCCGAUCCCGGUCCCUGUCUUUCUCUCUGUCACGAUCCCUGUCUCUGCUUCUCGAUCGCUCUCUGUCACGUCUUCUGUAGGAGUCUCUCUCUCUGGUUCUUGUCCUAUCUCUGUCUCUGCUUCUUUCCCAUUCUUUACCUCGCUCUGAAUCCUUGUCUCUGUUUUGGCUCCUAUCUCUGUUUUUAUCCCAUUCCUUGUCUCUGUGUCUCUCCCAGUCCCUGUCUCUGUUCCAGUUUCUGCCACGGUCUCUUUCCCAAGGUCUGCCGUGUUCUCGAUCCCUUCGUCUGUCCUCGAAGGCUCUGCCUUGGCGAUUGUCUGCUUGCUGGGGCUCUGGCUGAUCUAAACCCUUGUCUUUAUUUCCUCCCUCAUAUCUCUGUCUCCCUUCAAAUGUCUGGCCUCUAUAUUCAGGAUUUUUGCCUUCUCGGAAGUCAGAUGCGGACCACUGUCCUUCUGACUCAGGUCCUUGUCCAGACAUAUUGGAAAGAGAUGCAGAUGGUCCAGCGUCCUCCCACAUCUCUUUUCUGUGGGUUGGUGGAUGGCUUGGAAGGUCCAGGAGUGGUCUUGGUGGUGGUUUCAUACCUUGUGGUGACUGACCCUGGAAAUGAAAUCUAGAGGGGGGAGGUUCAUCUUCCUCUGGAAACAUUGCAGGUGGGGCUCCUCUUGGUCCCCCAAACUGAUGUGGUGCUGGACCUCUCUGGUUGGAAAAUCUGGGUGGUGGGCUCCCUCUCCGUUCUUCAUACGGCUGUGGCAAAAGUCCCCUUGGACCAGGCAUAUGAUUUGGAGCUGGACCCCUCUGCCCUUCAAAUUGAUUUGGGUGAGGCCCUCUUGGUCCCCCAAAAUGACCUGGGGCUGGACCUCUUGGCCCUCCAAACUGAGGGCCUCCUCUCUGUCCUUUAAACUGAGCUGGUGGGGGUCGUCUUUGACCUCCGAAAGGAAAAGGUGAAGGUCCUCUGUUUCCCAUAAAUUGAGGGGAAUCUGGUCCUUCGAACUGUCCUGGAGGCCCCAUCAUUUCAUCAUAUUGGGAAUCUGAGAAUUCCCUUUGUUCCAUGUGAGGUUCCCUGUGAUCUUCAAAAUGAGAUGGUGACAUUCCUCUUGGACCACCAUGAUAAGGGGCAGGGCCCCUAUUAUCACCAAAAAAUGAUGAUGGUCCAUGCUGUGCAGAAAAUAAGGAAGGAAGGGGACCCUUUUGACCUCCAAAUCUUCCAGACUGAGGUCCUCUUUGCCCAUCAUUAUUUGGAAAACCGUGCUCUUCAGAGAACUGUGGUGCUGGUUCUCUAAAAUUAGGUCCAUGAGGCCCUCCAGGUGCACUGAGCAUCAGUGGAGGCCCUCCUUUCUGCCCAGACAAAGAAAACGCCAUGUUUUCCUCAAAGUGCUGUGGGGGAGGUCCACCCUCACUCUGAAUUUGUGGGGAGUCAGUCUGUUCUACAAACUGAUGAGACUGAGGAUUUCUUUGUUCAUCAUAUUGCACUGAUGAAAGACCUGUCUCUGGUUCAAAGUGACCAGGUGCCUUUUCCUGAGGAGGAAACAUUGUAUUUGAAAAGGAUUCCAUUCCCAUUGCUUCCUUUGACUCAUUUGACCACGACACUUGAUGCAUGUCUUGCAGGGAUGGGCUGUCAUUUGAUGUGGAGAAAUUAGGCUGAAAAGAUGUAGCUGGAGGUGUUGGAAGCAGCACUUUACGUACAGGUUUAGAUCCAGAAGGUUCUCCAGCAGCUGUUUGAUUCAGGUUUUCCAAAGUAACUUGAAUGGUGUGUUCAAAUUUGCUGUUAGUAGUCUCCUUCUGGGACACUGUAGAAGCCUGUUCACUUGAAACCCAAUUGUCAGCAGUAAAGCCAGGCUGAGUAGCAGAAAUUAAAGUAUUAUCUUCCUUACCAAGUGAAGUCUGCAAAGCAUUUGGAAAACUUGCUGGAGCAACUUCUCUUGUGGAUACCUCAUUCUGUACCACCUGUGGCUUUAUCCGAGAAUCAACAGUGUCAUUAGUCUCUGUCACCAUCCUUCGAGCCUGGCGAGGAUCUCUGUUCUGUCGUGGGUCACAGCCCUGGUUUAAAACUUGUGCUUGCUGAUUUAAAGAUGAAGGUAAAUCUACUUUUUGUGUAGCCUGCUGGUCCUGAUGGAAUAAUUCAGUCUUUAUUAGGGAAGCUUUCGCUGGUGGUGGUGACAUUAAAGCAUCAGACACUGAAAAAUGAGCCAUUGAAACACCAACAGCUGCUCUUUGUUGCCUGAGGGCUUCUUCUUGUUCCUCUAGUUGUCUUUUCUGUUCUUCUAUUUGUUUGUUUAACUCUUCCAACAUUUUCUGCUGUUCUACCAAGGACGAGGCUGCAGAUAAAUCAGGCACGUAUGAAGCAGGUGUUUCUGAAGAACUGUUUUUAGUGUCUGUGUACAUUUUGUUGGGUAAAUCAUCAACUGUAACUUUUGCUUCUUCCAAGAUAGUUUCGUCCUCUGGAUCAUAGGCCUCAUCCUCUAGUUCUGCUGCAUUAGAUGGCUUUUCCACAUUGUAUCGCUUUUCACUUUCACCAGUCUGCAUUUCAAAGGCUUUUUCCGGGCCGUACUCUUCCUCAGGAUCAUAUGGUCUGUCAUCCUCCUCCUCUUCUAUAGCUCUGUCCUUUGACAUCUGCCCAAACUGCUGCACAAUGGGAUCUAACAGCGGAACCGCUGACAUUCCGCCAUCAGCAGCAGCUUGGCCUUCCUGACUUGAAGACUGAACAGUUCCAGAAUCCUUGGCAAGUGGCUCAAAAGUUUUCUUCUUCCCAAAGAGGGUCUGCAGGAUGUGCUCGAGGGGUGUGGCAGUUUUGGAGGAUGCCGAGUGCGUGGCAGUGCCACUGGCAGGAGCAGCAGUUGAAACCAGCGGGGUCACAGUCGCUGUGGGUCCACUCUUAAUGGACGACAGGAUUUUUAAUACUGAAGGUGUCACUGCUGAGGUGUCUGGAAUGGGUGGGGGUGGAGGUGGAGGUGGAGGAGGAGAUCCAGGUGGUGUUGUACUCACAGACGAGUCUCCUGAAUAAAGUGUGUAUUUUGGAGCUUUCUUCUCUUGUGAAGCUGCAGCCCCUUUGGAGAACAGCGACGGCUCAGGCUCCUCAUGGGCUUGAGUUCUGCUUCGCUUCUCCUCCAUCUUUUCUGCCUCAAUGCCAGUGGCAGGACGCUUCCCUUUCUGACAGAUAACCAAUCCAAGAAUCAAAUUUGGCCGAGAUGACUCGAGACCUGAAAGGGAACAUAAAGAUUGCAUAUGUAAAUACCUGAUUUUUAAUGAUGCUUUCAGUAAAAACUUACUAUGUUAUAUAGUGGCAGCUAGAAAAGUCAUAAAAGUAACAGUUUUUCUAAAUUCCAUCAGAUCACCUAUUAGCAAUUUUUCAUUAGUCCACAUGCAUUUAUAUUUCUCUCUAUAUAUGUUUGUAUAUAAUAAGUUUAAAUUCCUUCUUUGAUAUCUUUAAUAAAAGAUUGCAACAUCAGGUAUCGUUGUUAAAAGCUAUUCCCGCAAAAGUUCAAACAAAAGGAAGUUGUUAUAUUUUUGUACUUUUACAUUGUUUCUGCUGUUCAACCACCUCCACUUCUCCCCCUGAAAAAUCAAAUAUUUAUGUUUAAAUAGUUUGCAAAUAUGCUAUAUACACAGGGAUAUUGAAAAGUGAAAAGACCUGGGUUAAACAUUGCUGUUUGUGUUAUAAUCUGUGCUAAAAGUCCACAUUGACACCAGUCUGUAAAUAUUUUGUCUGUCUCCAGGUUAAACAAAUACCAGUAAUGGCUAAAAAGAUAACAUUAAACAAACUGUGCUUGGAAACAGAGUUAAAGCUGGUAACCUACUCCCAGCUUGUUGUUUGUUUUUUUUUUUUUUCCCAGCUAGACAUUAUUUAAAAGGAGACAGAAGCAGGGAAACUCUGAUUUACCAAACAAGCACAGGAGAUGUGUUUGGUUGGGCAAUUACUGGUGUGCAGGGGUGACGUGCCCUUGGAGCCUCCACUGCAGAACACAGAGUGAUGUUAGGCCUUAAUAUCUCAGAAAAAACAUGAUGAGCAGAACUGGUCCUUUGUGAAGAGCUUCAGACUCAAAGCCCCAGAGAAGUAGAUUAAGAAAUGAUAGGAAAGUUUCUGAUAAAGAGGAAAAAUGCAAAGGUCUGUAGGCUUGUUUCCUCUAUUGCAUUUCUUCCUCUUACAUGCACAGUUCCCACUGACUCUCGUGGCAGAUAAACAUGGCUAGAACGAAGGGCAGGGAGGGAAUCCUUUAACAUGAAGUGGUGGCAAAUGUAGAAAAUCUGUACAAAGAGAGGCCUUUUUAACUUCUGGAUUUAAUGGCCUUUAGAAGGUCCUCCUUUGAGGGCCACUGUCUUUCCCCCAUAUGUGCCAUUAGUUAUUAUUUGCAUCCAGCAAGGAAGUGGUAAUACAGAAACACAAAAUAACCUGUGAAAUAAGAGAUAAUAUUCACUGUGGUUAAAUUACCAGGUGAGGGCUCUGACCUACACUGACCCUUCUAUUCAAGAUCCCAGAAGUAAGAGGUUGUUAUAUAUAUGUUCCUCGUUCUUAUUAAGCCAACUGCUCACUGAGGAAUAAUUUUAAAAUAUCUAAUUAUUAGCACUGAAAACUUUUUGAUACCAACGCAAAACCCCAAGCCCCACAGUAGCAGAUACACUCCUUUAGCAAAACACAUCACACAUACGUUACUUUGCUGAACCAACUCAAAGUUUUACGGGGACUCUUAAAUUUACCAUCUAAUGAGAAAACCACAUCAGCUGUUUUGCUAAAUUUCUGUUCCCGUUAAUGAAUAGUGACUCCCCAGUUGGUGGGUGUUGACCAGUGCAGAGUAUCUCACAAACUGGUGUUCACCCAAAAACUCCCAGUAGGCAUUUGCUGUCCUGCCAUUGUUAAUGUUUUGGUUAUUGACUUUCAUGCAGAGACCUGUGAUUUAUGCAAUUAGUUACAAUGAAUCUCAAACACUGAAUAACUGAAAUAAACAGCUUUUAAAAAUCCAUCAGGCAGGAUAUCUCAUAAACAGCAAUUACCAAGAAAUCAGGUUUGAAUCCCUGUAACAAACAGAGAUCACGUCACUAAUAAAACAGGGUAAAAUUUUAAUAUGCUUUCAAGGCAAUAAAUUCCAGGAGUAAGUUAAUACCAUUAGUUAUAAAUUAUUCUGUUUAGAAUUUAGUCAUCAUAGAAUAAAUGCAUUAAAAUUUUACAUUUUGAUAUGGGAAUUUUACACAAAUAUAGAAGUUUUGCCUAACCUAGAACCUACAUUCACUCAGUUCAAAGAGACCAAAUACUAAAUGCUUCCUGGAAUGGAGACACGCAGCCAGAGCAGCUUUCAAAGGUCAGCCCCCUUCUAUCUCAAUAUCCAUAAAUACGUUAAGUGCCUAAUUUUAGGAACAACAAGAUGUUGGCUGCAGUCUGCCACUAUUGCUCAAUGACACAUUCUAAAAGUGCUGCAAGCUGUGCUGGCAGAGUUAGAAGCUUUCAGUGCUAAAUUAUUUAUAACAGUUAUUAUCCUAUUAUGCAUUUGAAGUCCACAUGCUGGUUUUAUUGAGUUACACCCUGUAACUAAAGCCAUUAAAACAGGAUAUACUAAAUAUUAGUACUGGAUUAAUAUUUGGUUUUCUUAGCCUUAAAUGCAUUUUUUUUCAAUAUAUCAAUUUUGCCAUAUUUAUGUGUAUAUUGGCCACAUCUUUCCCUGUCACCAGCAGCUGGUAAGAAGUGACCUGCACUGUUAAAGACACACCCUCACUUCUGCCCACCCAUGACAGACCCACGGGAAUGGACUAAGCACACCUGUGGUGAGUUUUAAACUGAAGAGACCCAUACAAGACAUUGUAUUUUAUCAAUGCCAUUUAAAUCAUUUGUCCCAAUUAAUCACGGGAGCAAUGGACAACUGUCAUCAAAUUAGUGCCCCCUCAACCCAGGGCUCCAGAUCACUGCCAGCACUGACACUGCUCCACGUUCACGUUCCUUUGCUGAGUGGAACUGGCUGGCACAGAAAACCAGGUUUGUAACGCCACGUUCUUCUACUGCUGCUGCUUUUCCUAACGAGACCUGCUGAGAUGAAGACACCAAACUCCAUUCACAGUUCAGUUAAAAUUUUGGUCCUUUUGUUGCAAUUUUUAAGAGCAUUGCAAACAGCAUGAGGAGAUUUCAGGCCUUUGUACUUUAUGAAAAAACACAGUUCCUAUUGUAAACUGCCCAAAAGAUGUAUCAGCAUUUGUGGAAUCCUUUGCUGAUAAAUGGCUCUUGUAGUAAAAUUUCUCUAUUUUAACUAUGUAAGGUAGUUGUUACAUUCCCAACAUUGCCACUAAAUCCCUCAGUAAAACACUAUUAGUAAUUAAGUUUGAUUAUACUUUUUUUUACAAAUGAAAAUGCUAAAUAAAGUGUGUAUGUGAAACAGAGGAGUGAAUUCACAUACAGUAAACUACUGCAAAAAGACAGUGCAGAAGAGCCCAUGAUACAUAAAAUCUGGUAUUAAAUAUCUGAGAUUAAUUAAAUAUAAAUGAGGAUAACCUUCCAUUUUUCUCUGUUUUUCAGUCACCCAUGUCAAAGUUUUCUGCAGAUCUUCUAGGUACUAGUGCAGUUCAGAAGUCCUCAGUUGUGUUCCAAAUCCAGUCCAUUAGAAAACAGGAGAAAUUCCUAAUCCAUACUGGAACUGGCUGAUAAAGCUGGAAUAUCUUCUAACUAGGAUUUCUGGAGUGGCAGGGUUUGAUUGUCCUCUCCCUCCUCCCCCCUCAGCUCAUAUUUAUCAAACCAUCUAAAGGCAAAGCUUUUCCUUGCUAAACUCUACUGGAAGGCACACGAUUAAAUUUAAGGAGACAAUGACCACGUUCCACAAAAUAUUUUUAUUGAUUGUCAAAGAAAGAAAAAACAGUGAAUUCCAUCAGAUGUCAUUAAAAAGUGUGGAUUACAUGCUGUAGUUUUCAAACAUACACAAACCCGGAUGAACAGCUUACCUGCUUCUUUUGAUCUGGUUUUAAAACACGAACACAACUUGGCCCAGCUGUGAGGUAAAGGCAGCCAAGGGAGUUCCCAACAAGUGUGAACUGAUGUCAGAACUCUAAGUGGGUCUUCUGUGAAACUGCUCCAUCUCAUGUCCUGCCUGCCCUUGAAACCUUGUUUCUGCUGCUAGUAUUUAAUCCAUUUGGCCUACAAAUACCUAUGUCAAUUUGGAAACCUGACUCAUAAGAAACUUGGCAAAACCAGGCUGACGUUACAAAUUCCUCUACUAAGAGUAAAGUUUGGCUACACUUGCCAACCUCCAGUCUAAGGUAAAGAGUUUCAUUUGAAAUGAAAACUAUAAUGGAGAAGUAAAAGAAGUGUAAAAAGGAAAGCUGAUAUUUUCACAGGAAUGCAAGAGGCAACAAUCAGGAAAAUGUCUCCCUAAAGCAGGUUAUUUACCAGACCAGCUGACCUUUACAGCUGAUUCAAUGCCAGUCCCACCCUUGUACUACUGCCCAGAAAGGAGGGUAUUUCUUUUGUUCUGCCUGGAAAAAUCAGUCUGUUAAGACUCUACCUACAACCUUGUGCCAAGGUGUUCUGCACUUGGUGUUUUCACUUCUUGGCUAUGAAAUGGGAGUAACAGUUUUUGCCUACCUUUCAAGAUUUCUGUGAGUUACAGACUAUGAGGUGCUGAGAUUUGACAAUUCUGGCUAUACUGCUAUAAUUUAGACAGCAAUAAUCCUGCCUUUUUAGCUAUUGCCUAAAAACAACCACCUAGACUGUGCACUGCUCAAGGAUGGAUAAAACAGACUGGGAGUGUAUGAGAAAGAUCCUGUUUGAGGAUGCAGAGCAAGUGCCCUUGGCCAUUUCAUGGAGGAAGGGAGAGCACUUAACUCAUAUUUCACUUGUAAGUCAUGAAAACCUGCUCCAGCCCCUGUUUCUCCAGCAUAUAAUCUCUGAGAAUGCUUUAUUGAGUUUAGUGCUACACUUGUAUUUGAGUAGAGGACACAGCUUUCCAGAAAGAUCAGCUCCUGUAUGUUGGUUGUUUCAUACCCACCGUUUAGUGCCACCCAUUGCCACGACAAUGGAGUUCUACCUUCACUGGAACCUGCAGCUCUUCAGCUUCUCAACCUGGCAUUUUCUAUAAUCCCUCAGAUCCUUAUUUGGAAAUUAAGCAUAUGGACCUCCUCCAUCCUCGGAUGAAGAUGACUUCAAAUUUUGUAGGAGAAGGGUGUUUCAUGGUUGAAUUCAUUCUCAGUUCUUCUGUCACCAUGUUCACCAAACAUUACUAUAGGUAAUUUUAUCCAAAAAUAUAUAUGCCUAUACCAACUGCUGUCUGCCACCUACUAAUCCUAAGAAAUGGGAGUUUUUUAGUGUUUUGGGUUUUUUUUUAAUGUAGUGGCUGUUCUAUAUCCUUGAUUUUACAGGUAAACUCAUUCUCCCAACAGCCUACGGGCAUCUUGUUGGAUUUCCAGUUUCUCCUAUUUAUGUAGUUUAAAAUUGGUUUUAUAUAAAAAAAUUUAAAUAAUGCUUACAUUAAAUAUUCAACAACUUGUCUCAGAUUGCCUUUUGUUUUGUGAUUUUACCUAGCAUUUAACCUCCCCUGUUUUGUGCUUACCUGGUCCCUCAAAGGGCAAGAGUUUGGAAGGAAUUGGGUCCUUAGAACUCAGGGGGAUCAGGUAGAGAUCCUUGACAUGUCUGUUGUUAUUAGCUACAACACCAAAACGACCACGACUGCUAAAAUAGGAGUAGAGAGAGAUAUAGGCAACCUCUUCUUCUUCUGUGGCAGGAUGGAAGCGAAUCAAACACAGUUCCUGGAAUACAAAAGCAAAGUAGAAAAAACUCAACCUGCAACAUAUCAGCAAAUAAAAUGGUAAAGGACAAAUUCCAGGGGUAAAAAUGAACUGAACAUUUAUCACUCCAGUUUUGCCUUCAGGGUAACACACUGGCUUUAAGAGUCUACUCUGUUCAAUUUGUAACAUUAAAACAGAAUUAGGUGUCAUUUUCAGAAACACAAAUUACUUGUGUAUCUUACAUCAAACUAAACAGCCUGAGGCUCAAAUAAAAAAGAAAUGGAAAAAUCUUAGUUUCAUGAUUAUCUCUGUACACUGUGCAUCACUUUUUCACUUCUGAAGCGAUUUUAAUAUUAAAAUCUAUUACGUACAUUAAAUGAUAACUACCUUUCCUUUAAGAUUUCAAUUUCAAUCUUCACUAUUUUAAAUAAUAAAUAGUAUGAAGAUUUGACUACUAUGCAGGAGAGAGAGAUUAAGAAGAUUUGCAGCUCAAUUAACACAUUUCUUCAAUAAAUCAAAAAUUUAAAAGAA
This is a long non-coding RNA of Pseudopipra pipra, 12333 nucleotides long. RefSeq lists it as uncharacterized. The transcript is spliced from 2 exons. The record is from RefSeq and is a predicted model, not a curated record. NCBI's taxonomy places the organism in Eukaryota, Metazoa, Chordata, Aves, Passeriformes, Pipridae.